This 103-nucleotide Y RNA is filed under the name Saimiri boliviensis boliviensis (Bolivian squirrel monkey). RNAcentral's name for it is "Y RNA (ENSSBOG00000007267.1)". It matches the Rfam family "Y RNA". From Rfam's summary of the family: Y RNAs are components of the Ro ribonucleoprotein particle (Ro RNP), in association with Ro60 and La proteins. The Y RNAs and Ro60 and La proteins are well conserved, but the function of the Ro RNP is not known. The record is from Rfam by way of RNAcentral. Lineage: Eukaryota; Metazoa; Chordata; Mammalia; Primates; Cebidae.
GGCUGGUCUGAAGAUAGUAUUCUCAGUUGAUCAGUCGGUUACAGAUUGAGCUCCAUGUUCUGCUCUUUCCUGUUUUCUCACUUCUGCAUUUAACUAGUCUUAA